Molecule: ribosomal RNA, 253 nt
Filed under: uncultured bacterium
Lineage: Bacteria
Description: partial 16S ribosomal RNA
Rfam family: Bacterial small subunit ribosomal RNA
Source: RNAcentral
UACGAGGGGGGCAAGCGUUGUUCGGAAUUAUUGGGCGUAAAGGGUGCGUAGGCGGUUUGGUAAGUCUUAUGUGAAAUCUACAGGCUCAACUUGUAGUCUGCAUGAGAAACUGCCGGGCUUGAGUAUGGGAGAGGUGAGUGGAAUUCCUGGUGUAGCGGUGAAAUGCGUAGAUAUCAGGAGGAACACCUGUGGCGAAAGCGGCUCACUGGACCAUAACUGACGCUGAUGCACGAAAGCUAGGGGAGCAAGCAGG